GGAUGUGAGGGCGAUCUGGCUGCGACAUCUGUCACCCCAUUGAUCACCAGGGUUGAUUCGGCUGAACUGGCUGGCUAGGCGGGUGUCCCCUUCCUCCCUCACCGCUCCAUGUGCGUCCCUCCUGAAGCUGCGCGCCCCGUCGAAGAGGACGACCUUCCCCGAAUAGAGGAGGACUGGUCUUCAGUCAAGGGUAUACGAGUAGCUGCGCUCCCCUGCUAGAACCUCCAAAAAGCUCUCAAGAAACGUAUGAUUGAAGCCCUACACAGAGCGAAGUUCAAGGUUCCUGGCUGCCAGAAGAUCCACAUCU
Molecule: small nuclear RNA, 307 nt
Filed under: Jaculus jaculus (lesser Egyptian jerboa)
Lineage: Eukaryota; Metazoa; Chordata; Mammalia; Rodentia; Dipodidae
Description: 7SK RNA (ENSJJAG00000004084.1)
Rfam family: 7SK RNA
About the family: 7SK was discovered as an abundant small nuclear RNA in the mid-70s but a possible function has only recently been suggested. Two independent studies have found that 7SK RNA binds the CDK9/cyclin T complex (known as elongation factor P-TEFb).
Source: Rfam by way of RNAcentral